GCUAAAAUGGCAGAAUAAAGUGCGUUAGAGUUAAGUUCUAAAUAUAAAAUAAUUUUUUUUUAGCU
RNAcentral lists this transfer RNA (65 nucleotides) under Cyanoplax caverna. RNAcentral's name for it is "tRNA-Leu". Lineage: Eukaryota; Metazoa; Mollusca; Polyplacophora; Chitonida; Tonicellidae. The record is from RNAcentral.